CGCCCCGAGUGGCGACGCUCUAGUCGCCAUUUGUCUAUGGCAGGCAGGGUGGCCGCCUUAGCUGCCGGAGGUUCCGCGCUCUCUAAGGCCCUGGGUGAAGCCCCACCUCUGCUGCGCGCAGCCUGCGGUGCGGGUCAUGGCGCGGCUACCGAAGCUGGCAGUCUUUGAUUUGGAUUACACUCUCUGGCCUUUCUGGGUCGACACGCACGUAGACCCUCCGUUCCAUAAGAGCAGUGAUGGAACUGUACGAGAUAGGCGGGGCCAAGACGUCCGACUGUACCCAGAGGUGCCUGAGGUCCUAAAACGAUUGCAGAGCCUUGGGGUGCCCGGUGCGGCUGCUUCAAGGACAAGUGAGAUAGAAGGGGCCAACCAGCUACUGGAGCUCUUUGACCUUAUCAGGUACUUUGUUCAUCGGGAAAUCUAUCCAGGCAGCAAGAUCACACACUUUGAGAGGUUGCAGCAGAAGACUGGAAUUCCUUUCUCCCAGAUGAUCUUCUUUGAUGAUGAGAGGCGGAAUAUUGUAGACGUCAGCAAACUGGGUGUUACCUGCAUUCACAUCCAGAAUGGAAUGAAUCUUCAAACUCUAAGUCAAGGGUUACAGACAUUUGCGAAGGCCCAAACUGGGCCUUGAGGUCCAGCCUUGAGGAGAGCCCAUUUGAGGCCUAAACUGAAAGGAAAUCAAGAAGGCAUUUUCAGGGAAGAAGGAGAAAGGGCCAACCCCUGAAGAAGCAAUACAGAAACUGAAGGAGACAGAGAAGAUACUGAUCAAGAAACAGGAAUUUUUGGAGCAGAAGAUUCAACAGGAGCUACAAACAGCCAAGAAGUA
RNA transcript from Pongo pygmaeus (Bornean orangutan), 826 nucleotides. It is a transcript of the gene named magnesium dependent phosphatase 1, with no coding region annotated. The transcript is spliced from 7 exons. NCBI's taxonomy places the organism in Eukaryota, Metazoa, Chordata, Mammalia, Primates, Hominidae. The record is from RefSeq and is a predicted model, not a curated record.